CACUGUUCACUAUCUAGUGUGUGCAGACAAGCCUACAAUCGUCAGUGGCCUCGGUGCUGUUCCCAAGUCAGACUCUAAUGACAUCAGAGUGAUCCACGACUGCAGCAGGCCCGCGGGCGGGAGCGUUAACGACUGCGUGUGUACGAAUCAUGUGACCUAUCAUAGUAUAGAUAAAGCUGUUUCGCUCCUACCCAGAGACGGGUAUAUGGCUUAGAUCGAUCUCAAACAUGCUUAUCGUAGCGUUCCUGUACAUCCAGACUUGCUUUAAUGUGGC
Molecule: long non-coding RNA, 274 nt
Organism: Haliotis rubra (blacklip abalone)
Lineage: Eukaryota; Metazoa; Mollusca; Gastropoda; Lepetellida; Haliotidae
Exons: 3
Source: RefSeq, a predicted model, not a curated record